GCAGGAUUAGUUUAUCGGUAGAACAGGAGUCUUCCAAACUUCAGAGGCGGGUUCAACUCCCGUAUCCUGCUCCA
RNAcentral lists this transfer RNA (74 nucleotides) under Caudoviricetes sp. RNAcentral describes it as "tRNA-Gly". It matches the Rfam family "tRNA". From Rfam's summary of the family: Transfer RNA (tRNA) molecules are approximately 80 nucleotides in length. Their secondary structure includes four short double-helical elements and three loops (D, anti-codon, and T loops). Lineage: Duplodnaviria; Heunggongvirae; Uroviricota; Caudoviricetes. The record is from RNAcentral.